ACUCAAAUGAAUAGACGGGGGCCCGCACAAGCGGUGGAGCAUGUGGAUUAAUUCGACGCAACGCGAAGAACCUUACCAAGGCUUGACAUGCCAACGCAACGUAUAGAGAUAUGCGUGUCCUUCGGGACGUUGGACACAGGUGGUGCAUGGUUGUCGUCAGCUCGUGUCGUGAGAUGUUGGGUUAAGUCCCGCAACGAGCGCAACCCUUACGUUCAGUAGCUAACGGUUAAAGCCGAGCACACUGGAGGGACUGCCGUGGAGAACACGGAGGAAGGUGGGGACGACGUCAAAUCAUCAUGCCCCUUAUGUCUUGGGCUUCACACGUGCUACAAUGGCAUACACAGCGUGACGCAAAGGGGCGACCCGGAGCAAACCACGAAAGGAUGCCUCAGUUCGGAUUGCAGUCUGCAACUCGACUGCAUGAAGUUGGAAUCGCUAGUAAUCGCGGAUCAUCAUGCCGCGGUGAAUACGUUCCCGGGCCUUGUACACACCGCCCGU
RNAcentral lists this ribosomal RNA (498 nucleotides) under uncultured bacterium. Its description in RNAcentral is "bacterial SSU rRNA". It matches the Rfam family "Bacterial small subunit ribosomal RNA", at positions 899 to 1397 of the family's 1533-position model. The record is from RNAcentral.